UACGUAGGGUGCAAGCGUUAUUCGGAAUUACUGGGCGUAAAGCGUGCGCAGGCGGUUUUGUAAGUCUGUCGUGAAAUCCCCGGGCUCAACCUGGGAAUUGCGUUGGAGACUGCAAGGCUGGAGUCUGGCAGAGGGGGGUAGAAUUCCACGUGUAGCAGUGAAAUGCGUAGAGAUGUGGAGGAACACCGAUGGCGAAGGCAGCCCCCUGGGCCAAGACUGACGCUCAUGCACGAAAGCGUGGGGAGCAAACAGG
Molecule: ribosomal RNA, 253 nt
Filed under: uncultured bacterium
Lineage: Bacteria
Description: partial 16S ribosomal RNA
Rfam family: Bacterial small subunit ribosomal RNA
Source: RNAcentral